This 396-nucleotide ribosomal RNA is filed under the name uncultured bacterium. Its description in RNAcentral is "partial 16S ribosomal RNA". It matches the Rfam family "Bacterial small subunit ribosomal RNA", at positions 523 to 918 of the family's 1533-position model. The record is from RNAcentral.
AUACGUAGGGAGCGAGCGUUGUCCGGAAUUACUGGGUGUAAAGGGUGCGUAGGCGGGACUGCAAUUCAGAUGUGUAAUGCCGGGGCUCCAACCCGGAGCUGCAUUUGAGACUGUGGUCCUCGCGUGAGGUAAUGGUAAGCGGAAUUACUUGGGUCGCGGUGAAAGGCGUAGAUAUUAGGAGGAACAUCGGUGGUGAAGGCGGCUUACUGGGCCUUUACUGACGCUGAGGCACGAAAGCGUGGGGAGCAAACAGGAUUAGAUACCCUGGUAGUCCACGCUGUAAACGAUGAUGACUAGGUGUGGGGGGACUGAACCCUUCCGUGCCGCAGUUAACACAAUAAGUCAUCCACCUGGGGAGUACGGCCGCAAGGUUGAAACUCAAAUGAAUUGACGGGG